This 432-nucleotide ribosomal RNA is filed under the name uncultured bacterium. Its description in RNAcentral is "bacterial SSU rRNA". It matches the Rfam family "Bacterial small subunit ribosomal RNA", at positions 354 to 776 of the family's 1533-position model. The record is from RNAcentral.
GUGGGGAAUAUUGCGCAAUGGGCGAAAGCCUGACGCAGCGACGCCGCGUGGGGGAGGAAGGCCUUAGGGUCGUAAACCCCUGUCAGAUGGGACGAACCAUAUGUCGGCUAAUACCCGGCAUACCUGACGGUACCAUCAGAGGAAGCUCCGGCUAACUCCGUGCCAGCAGCCGCGGUAAUACGGAGGGAGCAAGCGUUGUUCGGAAUUACUGGGCGUAAAGGGCGCGUAGGCGGCCUUGUAAGUCGAGUGUGAAAUGCCGGGGCUCAACCCCGUGCACUGCAUUCGAUACUGCUUGGCUAGAGAAAGGUAGAGGCGAGCGGAAUUCCCGGUGUAGCGGUGGAAUGCGUAGAUAUCGGGAAGAACAUCUGGGGCGAAGGCGGCUCGCUGGGCCUUUUCUGACGCUGAAGCGCGAAAGCGUGGGGAGCAAACAGG